Molecule: long non-coding RNA, 148 nt
Filed under: Polistes fuscatus (common paper wasp)
Lineage: Eukaryota; Metazoa; Arthropoda; Insecta; Hymenoptera; Vespidae
Description: uncharacterized LOC122513726
Source: RNAcentral
CUUGCGAAUACUCGAUCCUCCUACAGAAGAAGUGUUUCCACGAGUAAUAACAAAUUUAUCGCUAAUUAUAAACAUUCAUUGUAGCAGGGAGAAUCGUGAGAAGAAAGGAAUUCAAUUUCUUUCUUUCGAGAUUCGGAAGGAUCUACUU